RNAcentral lists this ribosomal RNA (508 nucleotides) under uncultured bacterium. RNAcentral's name for it is "partial 16S ribosomal RNA". It matches the Rfam family "Bacterial small subunit ribosomal RNA", at positions 28 to 523 of the family's 1533-position model. The record is from RNAcentral.
GAUGAACGCUAGCUACAGGCUUAACACAUGCAAGUCGAGGGGAAACGAUAUUGGAAGCUUGCUUCCGAUAGGCGUCGACCGGCGCACGGGUGAGUAACGCGUAUCCAACCUGCCCACCACUUGGGGAUAACCUUGCGAAAGUAAGACUAGUACCCAAUGACGUCCCUAGAAAACAUCUGAAAUGGAUUAAAGAGUUAUGGGUGAUGGAUGGGGAUGCGUCUGAUUAGCUUGUUGGCGGGGUAACGGCCCACCAAGGCGACGAUCAGUAGGGGUUCUGAGAGGAAGGUCCCUCACAUUGGAACUGAGACACGGUCCAAACUCCUACGGGAGGCAGCAGUGAGGAAUAUUGGUCAAUGGGCGAGAGCCUGAACCAGCCAAGUAGCGUGCAGGAUGACGGCCCUAUGGGUUGUAAACUGCUUUUAUAAGGGAAUAAAGUGAGCCUCGUGAGGCUUUUUGCAUGUACCUUAUGAAUAAGGACCGGCUAAUUCCGUGCCAGCCGCCGCGGUAA